UCUACAGCCAUGCUACCCUGAACAAGCCUGAUCCCGUCUGAUCUCAGAAGCUAAGCAGGGUCGGGCCUAGUUAGUACUUGGAUGGAAGACCACCUAGGAAGAGCAGGUGCUGUCAGAU
RNAcentral lists this ribosomal RNA (118 nucleotides) under Pteropus alecto (black flying fox). The record is from RNAcentral. RNAcentral also lists the same sequence under 1 other name. Lineage: Eukaryota; Metazoa; Chordata; Mammalia; Chiroptera; Pteropodidae.